This 254-nucleotide ribosomal RNA is filed under the name uncultured bacterium. RNAcentral describes it as "partial 16S ribosomal RNA". It matches the Rfam family "Bacterial small subunit ribosomal RNA", at positions 524 to 776 of the family's 1533-position model. The record is from RNAcentral.
UACGAAGGGGGCUAGCGUUGCUCGGAAUCACUGGGCGUAAAGCGCACGUAGGCGGGUCUUUAAGUCAGGGGUGAAAUCCUGGAGCUCAACUCCAGAACUGCCUUUGAUACUGAGGAUCUUGAGUACGGGAGAGGUGAGUGGAACUGCGAGUGUAGAGGUGAAAUUCGUAGAUAUUCGCAAGAACACCAGUGGCGAAGGCGGCUCACUGGCCCGUUACUGACGCUGAGGCACGAAAGCGUGGGGAGCAAAACAGG